Maylandia zebra (zebra mbuna) is the source of this 130-nucleotide non-coding RNA. Lineage: Eukaryota; Metazoa; Chordata; Actinopteri; Cichliformes; Cichlidae. The record is from RefSeq and is a predicted model, not a curated record.
AAUCCUCAGAAUAAUGGAGGAUUCCUGCGAGAUUUUGUGCUGAUUGCCCACGACAUUAAAAAGAGAGCAUUCUAACCAUUGCCUUUUUGUUGUGAAUGCAGACCAGAGAAGACACUACACAGAGGUCACA